CUAGAUGGCUAAAAAUCGAUAGAUUCUCUCCCCGACACAACUUAGCUCUCAUACCAAAAUUGAUUCAGGCCAACAUGUGUACGUGUGGAAGCAGUAGUGUUAUGUGUGACAGUGGAUCAGAGCCACAGCUACAGAUGUAUGAUAUUUUGCAAGUCCUAACGGACUCUCCUGAUGCAGAUUAGGAACUUCGAUGACCAUAAGGUGGAAGUAUCACAGUGCCCAGCAGU
Molecule: long non-coding RNA, 227 nt
Filed under: Elaeis guineensis (African oil palm)
Lineage: Eukaryota; Viridiplantae; Streptophyta; Magnoliopsida; Arecales; Arecaceae
Description: long non-coding RNA (EGUI_LNC059838)
Source: RNAcentral